RNAcentral lists this ribosomal RNA (253 nucleotides) under uncultured bacterium. RNAcentral's name for it is "partial 16S ribosomal RNA". It matches the Rfam family "Bacterial small subunit ribosomal RNA", at positions 524 to 776 of the family's 1533-position model. The record is from RNAcentral.
UACAGAGGGUGCGAGCGUUAAUCGGAAUUACUGGGCGUAAAGGGCUCGUAGGCGGCCAACUAAGUCGGACGUGAAAUCCCUCAGCUUAACUGGGGAACUGCGUCCGAUACUGGAUGGCUUGGAUUUGGGAGAGGGAUGCGGAAUUCCAGGUGUAGCGGUGAAAUGCGUAGAUAUCUGGAGGAACACCGGUGGCGAAGGCGGCAUCCUGGACCAAUAUUGACGCUGAGGAGCGAAAGCUAGGGGAGCAAACGGG